Molecule: transfer RNA, 79 nt
Filed under: Perkinsus olseni
Lineage: Eukaryota; Perkinsozoa; Perkinsida; Perkinsidae
Description: tRNA-Met
Source: RNAcentral
GCGGCUUUGGCGCAGUAGGUAGCGCCUAGCAGUAGGUCUCAUAAUCCUACGAUCGUGAGUUCCACCCUCGCGGGCCUCA